Molecule: transfer RNA, 65 nt
Filed under: Tegyrius keralaensis
Lineage: Eukaryota; Metazoa; Arthropoda; Insecta; Coleoptera; Chrysomelidae
Description: tRNA-Leu
Source: RNAcentral
UCUAUUAUGACAGAUUAGUGUAUUGAACUUAAACCUCAAAAAUAAAGAUUUAUCUUUUUUUAGAA